AGAGUUUGAUCCUGGCUCAGAUUGAACGCUGGCGGCGUGCUUAACACAUGCAAGUCGAACGGCAGCGCGGGGAGCUUGCUCCCUGGCGGCGAGUGGCGGACGGGUGAGUAAUACGUGGGAAUCUGCCUGAUAGUGGGGAACAACCCGAGGAAACUCGGGCUAAUACCGCAUACGCCUUACGAGGGAAAGCGGGGGACCUUCGGGCCUCGCGCUAUCAGAUGAGCCCGCGUCCGAUUAGCUUGUUGGUGAGGUAAUGGCUCACCAAGGCGACGAUCGGUAGCUGGUCUGAGAGGAUGAUCAGCCACACUGGGACUGAGACACGGCCCAGACUCCUACGGGAGGCAGCAGUGGGGAAUAUUGGACAAUGGGCGAAAGCCUGAUCCAGCAACGCCGCGUGAGGGAUGAAGGCCUCUGGGCUGUAAACCUCUUUUCUCAAGGAAGAAGAUCUGACGGUACUUGAGGAAUAAGCCACGGCUAAUUCCGUGCCAGCAGCCGCGGUAAUACGGGAGUGGCAAGCGUUAUCCGGAAUUAUUGGGCGUAAAGCGUCCGCAGGCGGCCCUUCAAGUCUGCUGUUAAAACGUGGAGCUUAACUCCAUCAUGGCAGUGGAAACUGUUGGGCUUGAGUGUGGUAGGGGCAGAGGGAAUUCCCGGUGUAGCGGUGAAAUGCGUAGAUAUCGGGAAGAACACCAGUGGCGAAGGCGCUCUGCUGGGCCAUAACUGACGCUCAUGGACGAAAGCCAGGGGAGCGAAAGGGAUUAGAUACCCCUGUAGUCCUGGCCGUAAACGAUGAACACUAGGUGUCGGGGGAAUCGACCCCCUCGGUGUCGUAGCCAACGCGUUAAGUGUUCCGCCUGGGGAGUACGCACGCAAGUGUGAAACUCAAAGGAAUUGACGGGGGCCCGCACAAGCGGUGGAGUAUGUGGUUUAAUUCGAUGCAACGCGAAGAACCUUACCAGGGUUUGACAUCCUGCGAAUCUCUUGGAAACGAGAGAGUGCCUUCGGGAACGCAGUGACAGGUGGUGCAUGGCUGUCGUCAGCUCGUGUCGUGAGAUGUUGGGUUAAGUCCCGCAACGAGCGCAACCCACGUCUUUAGUUGCCAGCAUUUAGUUGGGCACUCUAGAGAGACCGCCGGUGAUAAACCGGAGGAAGGUGUGGAUGACGUCAAGUCAUCAUGCCCCUUACAUCCUGGGCUACACACGUACUACAAUGCUACGGACAAAGAGCAGCAAGUUCGCGAGGACAAGCAAAUCUCAUAAACCGUGGCUCAGUUCAGAUCGUAGGCUGCAACUCGCCUACGUGAAGGAGGAAUCGCUAGUAAUCGCAGGUCAGCAUACUGCGGUGAAUACGUUCCCGGGCCUUGUACACACCGCCCGUC
RNAcentral lists this ribosomal RNA (1375 nucleotides) under uncultured bacterium. Its description in RNAcentral is "partial 16S ribosomal RNA". It matches the Rfam family "Bacterial small subunit ribosomal RNA". The record is from RNAcentral.